Long non-coding RNA from Vespa mandarinia (Asian giant hornet), 1157 nucleotides. The record is from RefSeq and is a predicted model, not a curated record. NCBI's taxonomy places the organism in Eukaryota, Metazoa, Arthropoda, Insecta, Hymenoptera, Vespidae.
AUAUGUAUAUAUACAAAUAUGCAUAUACUUACAUACGCAGAUUAUACACAUAUAUUCACACAUAAAUGAACAUCUUCUAUUGCUGUUUAAAAGUUCAGAUAUUCCUCCACAUUUUGGGUAAUGACAAGAAAAGAAAUGCGCUGCGCACUGGGGCUAUAUGCCAAACAGGACUUACAUCGGCACUUCUCAAGUUGUUAAGAAAACUUUACACAGCAAAACACGGAUAUGGUAAUGGUUAGGAGGAAAGGAAUAUUUGCGAAAAGAGUUCUACAUCUAAACCCUUCGUACUGAUACCGGCAUACUAUUGCGUGUUGACAAAUCAUCCGUGCUUGUAAAAAUUAGUGGGAAAACUUUGUCCUGAGAUAUCUUGGAUAGUUCAGUAGGACAGAGCAUUUGUUCGGGAAAUAAAAAGAUAUUUGUGUUCGAAUUCUGCUGUAAUACAUAUGCAUAUAUAUCUAUCCAGAACCUUAAUUUUUUUGUAAGUUCUUUAGACACGGAUGGUAGUAUUCACAUAUUUUGCAAUAAUCAUCACCAAAUUUAAAAUUAUGUAAUGUCAACUAAUCAAUAUUACAAAUCGGACAAUAAAAUGUAGCAACAGAAGAAAUGGACAGAACAUAAUCGCAUAUUAGCAUUAUCGAAUUAGAAAUUGUGCAUGAUUGACGUCGAAGUUAGUGAAAAAAAAACUAGCGAACAAUAGAAUCAAAACACAUUCAACAUUGGGACAUAAGAACAAGCGUAAAGGACAAUCUUCAAAAAUCGACAUGUACUCGAUAAUACAAUUAAUAUAUUUCGGCGUUUUUGUUAAAACAAAAGAAAAUAUAGAUAUAAUGCGAUAUGUUUGCAAUUGAGAAUUGUUUGAAACAGAGUGAGAUAUAUAUAUAUAUAUAAACUGAUAAUAUAUCUUUUAUCUUGUUUGACUAUUUAAUGAAGUGACAUGAAAGCUUAUAACAUAUAUAGUAUGAAAGUUAUUUUGAUCAGGAAAUAAUCCUAUGUAUAUCGCCUCUUAACGAUAGUUUGAGCAUUCACUCGUUUUACAAUACUAUAAAUAUAAUUCAUUAGCGAUACUAAUCAUCAUUACAACUAUAUAUGUUGAUUGUAGCAUUGUAUGUCUUAUAUAAUAUAAAUAUAUGAAGCAGAAUGUAAAUGAAUACCAAGAA